This 446-nucleotide ribosomal RNA is filed under the name uncultured bacterium. RNAcentral's name for it is "partial 16S ribosomal RNA". It matches the Rfam family "Bacterial small subunit ribosomal RNA", at positions 338 to 795 of the family's 1533-position model. The record is from RNAcentral.
CCUACGGGUGGCAGCAGUCGAGAAUCAUUCACAAUGGGGGAAACCCUGAUGGUGCGACGCCGCGUGGGGGAAUGAAGGUCUUCGGAUUGUAAACCCCUGUCAUGUGGGAGCAAAUUAAAAAGAUAGUACCCCAAGAGGAAGAGACGGCUAACUCUGUGCCAGCAGCCGCGGUAAUACAGAGGUCUCAAGAGUUGUUCGGAAUCACUGGGCGUAAAGCGUGCGGAGGCUGUUUCGUAAGUCGUGUGUGAAAGGCGCGGGCUCAACCCGCGGACGGCACAUGAUACUGCGAGACUAGAGUAAUGGAGGGGGAACCGGAAUUCUCGGUGUAGCAGUGAAAUGCGUAGAUAUCGAGAGGAACACUCGUGGCGAAGGCGGGUUCCUGGACAUUAACUGACGCUGAGGCACGAAGGCCAGGGGAGCGAAAGGGAUUAGAUACCCCUGUAGUC